CCUACGGGAGGCAGCAGUGAGGAAUAUUGGUCAAUGGGCGUAAGCCUGAACCAGCCAAGUCGCGUGAGGGAUGAAGGUUCUAUGGAUCGUAAACCUCUUUUAUAAGGGAAUAAAGUGUGGGACGUGUCCUAUUUUGUAUGUACCUUAUGAAUAAGGAUCGGCUAACGCCGUGCCAGCAGCCGCGGUAAUAAGGAGGAUCCGAGCGUUAUCCGGAUUUAUUGGGUUGAAAGGGUGCGUAGGCGGCCUUUUAAGUCAGCGGUGAAAGUCUGUGGCUCAACCAUAGAAUUGCCGUUGAAACGGGUGGGCGUGAGUAUGUUUGAGGCAGGCGGAAGGGGUGGUGUAGCGG
This 346-nucleotide ribosomal RNA is filed under the name uncultured bacterium. RNAcentral's name for it is "partial 16S ribosomal RNA". It matches the Rfam family "Bacterial small subunit ribosomal RNA", at positions 338 to 681 of the family's 1533-position model. The record is from RNAcentral.